UCUUUGAUAGGAACAGAGACCUGAGAAGUAGGAAUGAUUCUAUUCUGAGCCGGAAGAGCAAGAGAGACUGAGGGAUCGACACCAGUCUAGCGAAAAUGGUGAAAUAAUGCUAGCGAAAAUUUCAGAACAAAAUCUCGGAGACGUUGAGUUUUCGUAUGGCUCGAGAUUAUUAAACAUUGACAUCAAAUAUAAAAGAAUCAAUAUAGUAUUAAAAGAAAAAAAAAAUGUAGUAUUAAAAGAUAGGUUAUUAUCUCAUCUACCCAAGUUCAUCUCAUGAGCAUUAUGAGCAAAGCCGACCCAAAGGCCAAGCCCAUGAACCAUUUGCUUGCCGCUUUACAUAAUAUAUAUAAAUUUCGGCC
Arabidopsis lyrata subsp. lyrata is the source of this 359-nucleotide long non-coding RNA. RefSeq lists it as uncharacterized. The record is from RefSeq and is a predicted model, not a curated record. Lineage: Eukaryota; Viridiplantae; Streptophyta; Magnoliopsida; Brassicales; Brassicaceae. The transcript is spliced from 2 exons.